This 213-nucleotide ribosomal RNA is filed under the name Batrachomoeus trispinosus (three-spined frogfish). Its description in RNAcentral is "partial 12S ribosomal RNA". The record is from RNAcentral. Lineage: Eukaryota; Metazoa; Chordata; Actinopteri; Batrachoidiformes; Batrachoididae.
UCGGUAAAACUCGUGCCAGCCACCGCGGUUAUACGAGUCACUAAAGAAAAUAAUUACGGCACAAAGGGUGGUUAAGCCUCCCCAUAGUAGGGCCAAACACUAGUAUAAGUUGUGAAAAGCUGGUUUAGCAUGAAGCCCAAUAACGAAAGUAGCCCUAUUAACCUGACCCCACGAAAACUACCAAACAAACUGGGAUUAGAUACCCCACUAUGA